RNAcentral lists this transfer RNA (76 nucleotides) under Armatimonadota bacterium. RNAcentral's name for it is "Armatimonadetes bacterium (activated sludge metagenome) tRNA-Glu". It matches the Rfam family "tRNA". From Rfam's summary of the family: Transfer RNA (tRNA) molecules are approximately 80 nucleotides in length. Their secondary structure includes four short double-helical elements and three loops (D, anti-codon, and T loops). The record is from RNAcentral. Lineage: Bacteria; Bacillati; Armatimonadota.
GGCCCGGUGGUCUAGCGGUUAGGACGCCGCUCUUUCACAGCGGAGAUCGCGGGUUCAAGUCCCGUCCGGGCUACCA